GAAGACAAAACUGAGUAAAAUUUGGGGACUUGGAGUCUGGUCAACUAUGAACUUUCGGCUCCUUGAUGACCUUUAAUUGGGGGAAUCCGCUUCCAAUUUCUCUCUAAUCGCUACCAGACAAUCGCUACCAGCCGUCGCAACCUCAAAUCUCCACUGGCCACUGACGAGGGUUACGUUUCUUUUUCCUCCUUUGAGAAAAGUCAUAAAAGGCGUUCGAUUCGAGCUCCACUGUUGCAAAAGUUGUACAUGAGGUAAAUUUCGGGGCUGUCCCUUGUGAGAGAGUUCCUCGAGUGUAUCGUAGCUCAAAAUUCUCGGAUCCUGUAUCUUGACAAUGGAGGAUUUCAAAUCCAACUCCUAUGUGGAUGGAAGAAUGCAGAUUGAGAACUACUAUGGAAACGAAUCAAGAGGAGGACCGAACGGUUCCGGCGGAAUGGGUAUGCAAGAUUUUCGUUGUUACAGUGCUUCGUAUGCUUCGUCUGCGAAUCCAACUCAGAUGGGGAAUGAUUUGAAGCUCAAGAAAGGGAAAUCGACGAAUGGAUUCUCGUCGAAGAGCUGGAGUUUCAACGAUCCGGAGAUGCAGAGAAAGAGGAGGGUUGCUAGCUACAAGGUUUAUACUGUGGAAGGCAAAGUCAAAGGGUCUUUUAGAAAGAGCUUCAGGUGGCUCAAGGAAAGAUGCUCUCGAAUGGUCUUUGGAUGGUAACGAUCGGCUUAAAUUGGCACCUUGACUAAUCUAACGUCAUAUAGCAUGGCCCAACAACAUUAGACGUAGAAAACUUAUAAUCACCAGAUUGCUCUGGAAUAGGUUACGCUGGAGACAAGAGAAUGGAAGGCACCUUGACUAAUCUAACGUCAUAGUAGCAUGAUCCAACAACAUUAGAGGUAGAAAACUUAUAGGACAUUUAGAUUUCUUUAUGAUCUCUUUAAUUUGUCUCUUUUGCUGUUUACGUGAGAAUUUUAUUUUCGUACGAAAUUAAGAAUCUUAUCUUUAUUUCGAGAAUAUAUCUACGAGAUCACUGA
Cucurbita pepo subsp. pepo (vegetable marrow) is the source of this 1017-nucleotide RNA transcript. It is a transcript of the gene named DUF3511 domain protein (DUF3511), with no coding region annotated. Lineage: Eukaryota; Viridiplantae; Streptophyta; Magnoliopsida; Cucurbitales; Cucurbitaceae. The record is from RefSeq and is a predicted model, not a curated record.